This 509-nucleotide ribosomal RNA is filed under the name uncultured bacterium. RNAcentral describes it as "bacterial SSU rRNA". It matches the Rfam family "Bacterial small subunit ribosomal RNA", at positions 19 to 518 of the family's 1533-position model. The record is from RNAcentral.
AUGGCUCAGAACGAACGCUGGCGGCGCGUUUAAGCAUGCAAGUCGAGCGGCAAGGGCCUUCGGGCCCCUAGAGCGGCGGACGGGUGAGUAACACGUGGACAAUCUGCCCCCCGGCCCGGGAUAGCCCAGGGAAACCUGGAUUAAUACCGGAUGAGACGGGACCCGCGAUGGCAGGACCCGGGAAAGGCGCUGCGGCGCCGCCGGGGGAUGAGUCUGCGUCCCAUUAGCUAGACGGCGGGGUAACGGCCCACCGUGGCGACGAUGGGUAGCCGGCCUGAGAGGGUGGACGGCCACAUUGGAACUGAGACACGGUCCAGACUCCUACGGGAGGCAGCAGCUAAGAAUCUUCCGCAAUGGGCGAAAGCCUGACGGAAGCGACGCCGCGUGAACGAAGAAGGCCGUGAGGUUGUAAAGUUCUUUUCGGGAGGGGGAACAACCGUGGCAGGGAAUGGCCGCGGGAUGACGUGAAUCCCGGAAUAAGCCCCGGCUAACUACGUGCCAGCCGCCGC